This 30067-nucleotide long non-coding RNA is filed under the name Triticum aestivum (bread wheat). Its description in RNAcentral is "long non-coding RNA (TAES_LNC005363)". Lineage: Eukaryota; Viridiplantae; Streptophyta; Magnoliopsida; Poales; Poaceae. The record is from RNAcentral.
UCCCCCUAAUGGUGGCCAUGUCAUCUUGGUUACUAUGCAAAUGGCCACUUGUCCAGAAUCAAAGUCAAAUUCAAAUUUGAAUUACAAGUGAAAUAAUUAUUUCUUCGAACGGUAAAAAUAAAGUGUUCACAAUAUUUUAUAAAUUUCCCUGAUCUUUGUCAUGUUGAACCAAACAUUAUUUGACCCACCAAUUGGUCCCUAGGGAUUUAUAAAGUGGUUUAACAACAAAUAAAAAUAGCCUUUCAAAAUAAACAAAUAUUUAUACUUUUCCUCUUGACCUCAGACUUUUGAGGCCUCUACAAUAUAUUUCCUAAUAGUUGUGUACGCACUUUUACAUUUAACCAAAUUCAUCUCCUAGCUAAUGUUAAAAGAAAACAGUAGAGAAAAAUAAAAAAAUAGAAAAUGAAAAUAGAAAAGUUCCUAAAACUACUAGGCCAUUGGGCCAUAAGUGACCACAGUGCCUCCGGCCCAGCCCACCUCCACCUCCACCUCCACCUCAUCCCUCCUCUUUACAUGGAGGCAGGAGACGUGCGUGUCGCACAUCCACGGUCACCAUGGCCAUGGAUGGCCUCCACGUCGAUCUCCUUGGCUUAUAAUCGCCCCAUAGCGAACCCUAGCCCGCUCUCCUCCGUUCCCCUCUCAUUCCCCACCGAGCCGCCUCCUCUUUUGCUUGGGCGCGAGCUCGAAAGGUCCCGCGGUGACCGUGUCAGUACGACACUGCCUCGCGCCAUUGCCGCGGCCGCUGACCUCCCCAAACACUAGGAAGACGCCCAGGAGCCUCCCCGCCGUCAUCUCCUUCGACUACGCUACCGGAUCGAGCGGCGUAACUCUCGUGCGCUCGCCAUCGCCGUCGUCUUCGUUGGGUACAUCGCCGGCAUUCGCCGUCGUUGCCCACCGCUCUGGUUCGUCCCCGGCCACCCCAACCACGUCCCCGAGUUUGCUGUGAGCUCCUCUCCCGUUAUCCCUCUUUUUCCUCGACUCAAUUCGUGCCGUAGCCGUUGUCCACGAGCUCGUCUUCGCCGCGUCCGCGUGCGCGCCCGCAUGCUGCUCUUGCCCCGCUCCCGUGCGCCCCUGGCCGCCCUUUCCCGCACCGGGCGCGCCCCAGGCCGCGCCCUCGCGCGCGUAUGUCCGCCCGGGCCGUGCCCCUNNNNNNNNNNNNNNNNNNNNNNNNNNNNNNNNNNNNNNNNNNNNNNNNNNNNNNNNNNNNNNNNNNNNNNNNNNNNNNNNNNNNNNNNNNNNNNNNNNNNNNNNNNNNNNNNNNNNNNNNNNNNNNNNNNNNNNNNNNNNNNNNNNNNNNNNNNNNNNNNNNNNNNNNNNNNNNNNNNNNNNNNNNNNNNNNNNNNNNNNNNNNNNNNNNNNNNNNNNNNNNNNNNNNNNNNNNNNNNNNNNNNNNNNNNNNNNNNNNNNNNNNNNNNNNNNNNNNNNNNNNNNNNNNNNNNNNNNNNNNNNNNNNNNNNNNNNNNNNNNNNNNNNNNNNNNNNNNNNNNNNNNNNNNNNNNNNNNNNNNNNNNNNNNNNNNNNNNNNNNNNNNNNNNNNNNNNNNNNNNNNNNNNNNNNNAGCUCCGGCACCACCGCCCAGCCGUGCCCCAACUGCCUCUCCCUUGCUGCGCUGGGCCAUGCCCCGACCCCACGGCCACACGCCCACGCGCUGGCCUCGCUGGCCUCACCCGCCUCGCGCGCCCUGCCGCCUCCCACCUGCGCUCCUCCUUGCUGCCGUGGCCGCCGGCGCCCCGGGCCACCGUCGUUGCCUGCGGGGGCAAUGAGCGCUGCUUGGUGGUCGUGGCUGGCUUGGGCCACUACCCCAUGGGCCCGACCCCAAUUAGUUUAGGGGAUAACCCCCAAUCAGUGUUAAUUCCCCCUCCUAAUUAAUCUAUGACAUAUGGGCCCCAACGCCCUAAAAAUAAUAAUAAAAUUAAUUAAUUGGUAAUUUGAUUAAUUAACUUAGUUAAUUACCUAAUUAACUAACUAAUCAGUUAGUAAAUUAAUUAAACUCUCAAUGACAGGGGGCCCCAUCCCCUGUUGACCAGUCAAGCAUUGACUGGUCAACUGGGUCCCCCUGGCCCACAUGUCAGCCUCUGUGUACACUGUUGUGUACACAGGGUUGGGUGCAUUUAGCAUUUAAUAUUUAAUUUCAGAAAUGAAUUAAAACUUUGAAAAUUAAUAUAAAAUCAUCUGUAAGUCGGAUGAAAAUAAUCUAUAUAUGAAAGUUGCUCAGAACGACGAGAGGAAUCUGGAUACGCAGCCCGUUCGUCCGCCAUGCAUCCCUAGCAUAGCGAACACGCAACUUUCCCUCUCCGGUUCAUCUGUCCGAAAGUGUGAAAUACCGGGGAUACAUUCUCGGAUGUUUUCUCCCUUCGCCGGUAUCACCUCAUACCGCGUUAGGACACCCCUAGCACCGAUACUUGUCAUGUCAUGCAUCGCUAUGCAUCUGUUUGCUUAAAUAUUUAUUGUUUCUUCCCCCUCUUCUCUCGCUAGACACCGAGACCGACGCCGCGGCUACCCGGUACGACUACGGUGUUGACGACCCCUCUCUCUUGCCAGAGCAACCGGGCAAGCCCCCCCUUGAUCACCAGAUAUCACCUACUCUCCUCUAUACUGCUUGCAUUAGAGUAGUGUAGCAUGUUACCGCUUUCCGUUAAUCCUAUUCUGAUGCAUAGCCUGUCAUUGUUGCUACAAGUGUUGAUACCUUACCUGCAAUCCUAAAUGCUUAGCAUAGGAUUCUAGUUUAUCAUCAGUGGCCAUACAUUCUUGUCCGUCUGCCACACUAUAUUAUCGGGCCGUGAUCACUCGGGAGGUGAUUACGAGUAUAUACUAUAUACUUUAUACAUGAUACAUGUGAUGACUAAAGUCGGGUUGGCUCGAGGAGUACCCGCGGUUGAUUCAUGAAUUGGGGGCUGGAAGGACAUACUUUCCCGACAGCCCUCUAUGUGGAUCUUUGUGGUGAAGCGACAGGGCAAGUUGAUACCACCUAGGAGAGAGGUGGGCCUGGCCCUGGUUGGCGUUCGCAGUUAUUUUAAGAUAACACGUUUAACGAGAUCUUGGUAUUUGAUCUGAGUCUGGCCACUGGCCUAUAUGCACUAACCAUCUACGCGGGGACAGUUAUGGGCACUCAACAUCGUGGUAUCAGCCGAAGCCUUCGUGACGUCAGCGACUGAGCGGCGCGCGUCGAAUUGGACUGGAACACCUGCUAGGCUAGGUCUGCUUCCGGCCGCGUUCGCAACGUGCAGGUGUGCAAAGGGCGAUGGGCCCAGACCCCUGCGCCAUAUGAUUUAGACCGGCGUGCUGACCUCUCUGUUGUGCCUAGGUAGGGCUGCGACGUGUUGAUCUUCCAAGGCCGGGCAUGACCUAGAAAAGUGUGUCCGACCAAAUUGGAUUGAGCGUGUUGGGUUAUGUGGUGCACCCCUGCAGGGAAGUUAAUCUAUUCAAAUAACCGUGAUCUUCGGUAACAGGACGACUUGGAGUUGUUCCUUGACCUUAUGACAACUAGAACAUGAUACUUAAUAAAACACACACUUUCAAAUGUCAGAUACAACCGGUGAUCGCUCUCUCACAGGGCGACGAGGGGAGGAUCAUCGGUUAGGAUUAUGCUAUGCGAUGCUACUUGGUGAACUUACCAUCUACUCUCUUCUCUUGCUGCAAGAUGGAGGUUACCAGAAGCGUAGUCUUCGAAAGGACUAGCUAUCCUCCUUUUAUUUCGGCAUUCUGCAGUUUAGUCCAUAUAUGAUAGCCUUUUCCAUUUGAUACCAAUGCAUACAUAUGUAGUGUAGCUCCUUGCUUGCGAGUACUUUGGAUGAGUACUCACGGUUGCUUUGCUCCCUCUUUUCCCCCUUUCUAUACCCGAUUGUUGCGACCAGACGUUGGAGUCCGGGAGCAAGACGCCAUCGUUGACGACGACUCCUUCUACGCUGGAGGUGCUUACUACUACGUGCAGCCCGCCGAGGACGACCAGGAGUAGUUUAGGAGGAUCCCAGGCAGGAGGCCUGUGCCUCUUUCGAUCUGUAUCCCAGUUUGUGCUAGCCUUCUUAAGGCAAACUUGUUUAACUUAUGUCUGUACUCAGAUAUUGUUGCUUCCACUGACUCGUCUAUGAUCAUGCUCUUAUAUUCGAGCCCUCGAGGCCCCUGGCUUGUAAUAUGAUGCUUGUAUGACUUAUUUUAUUUGUAGAGUUGUGUUGUGAUAUCUUCUCGUGAGUUCCUGAUCUUGAUCGUACACGUUUGCGUGUAUGAUUAGUGUACGAUUGAAUCGGGGGCGUCACAAGUUGGUAUCAGAGCCGACUGCCUGUAGGAAUCCCCUUUCCAACUCCUUGGCCAAAGUCGAGUCUAGUCAUUGAAAAACUUUUACUAACAUGAUUGUGUGGCUUACGGGCCCACGUCGUCAUUGGGUGGUGUUAGGAUCUUUUACUCCUUGUCUAUACUCUGGGACUCUGAUCUCUCUUCUAUUCGGGUUAAAAUGAAUUUGCUAACUCUGACUCUAGGUUCUCGUAACUACUUUCUUCCGGAGAGCCCUUAUCACAAAUGAUUGCCUGCUGCACUAGAAGAUUUCGAAGAUACUUUACGAUGUUCUCCCGAGACACUUGUGCCUACCGUCUUGCAAAUUCCCUACCACUGUUAUUUCCUUAUGGAUAACUGCAUACACCUGCCAUUCUUACAUUCAAUUCCAUUGAUCUUGUUAUUACAAGGUGCAACGAACUGCUCUUCGUUGUUCCAAGAAUCCUUUGAGCUUAUUGCCUUGCAGUUCUUUACCACCUGAAUACCCCUAUGGAUAAUUUCUCGCACUUAUCGAGUAUCCGCUCAUCCCCAGUUGAUUCAGGUAUUUCACAAAAGUCUUCGAAAUGCCAUUCGAUCAUCCGAAAAUCUCGAGCAGCCAAUUCCUCUUGAAAGUCUUGCUUGCUUGCAUUAUGGUUAAUCCCACAAGUCUUGUAGUCUUAUUGGCAUCCCUUGUCAUUAUCAUUUUGAGUCUGUUGACUCAAUAUGUUUGCGAAUACACGCAAUCAUCAUUGAUCCUUAUAAAUUACCUUUCCGGCUGAGCUGCCAUUCUUUUAACUGGAAUUGGUUCUCGACCAAUCCAAUUGCCGUUGAUUGUACCCAAAGGCUAUUCAACUUAUCCAUCCCUGUCGGCGUUCUGGGAACGGGGGUCCCCAGACUUGCCUGCCUGCGGCCUGCGGUGUGGCUCAAAGGGGGCCCAGCACGGCCCGUCUUCAUCAACACAGACCCAAGACCCUCGCGAGGGGCCAAGCCUCGCGGGGCGGACGACACGGAGCUUCCUCAGGCACGGCCUCAUCAGGCUGGCUCGCGAGGAGGCGGAGAGAUCAAGGCGGGGUACCUCAUGAGGUGCCCGUGACGCAAGCUAUGAUGACCAAGGGUGCCAGGCGGGCGCCAGCCCGCGCAGUGUACUCCUUUCCUCUUUGGUGCAAAGGGAGCAAGCGCAGGCGAGAGCAUCAAGCAAAGGCACCCGUUUCGGUGCAAUGAGACCAAGACCGGCCCAACGGCAGGAAGGAAGUCAUUGUGGAGCCCAAGCCAGCGUCACCACCAGAGCCUUUGGCAGACGAGGACCAACUUUAGUCAGGAUAAGUGUACCAGAUGUUCCCCUUCAAAAUGGCCAAUUGUUGGCGCCCUUCCCACUCAAUAUUUGGGAAGAGGCCCAGGGCCUUUGCCUAUAAAUAGGACUAGCCACCCACAGGGUAGAGUAAUCGAAAUCGAAGAGAGAAUCGAGAAGAGAGAGAGAGAAGGGUGACUGAACUCCUCCUAGCAGUUCAUCCCCUCAGCCAAGAACAGACCCUCGCGAGGCUGUUCUUCCUUGUAUUGCUCAUCAUCAUCAGCCCAAGAGGCAAUCCACCACACCACACACUGGAGUAGGGUAUUACAUCACAACGGUGGCCCGAACCAGUAUAAACCCUGUGUCUCUUGUGCUGUUCUCUCCAUAGCUUAGAUCUUAGCGAGGCGGAGGGGUGCAAGUAGGUAGAAGGCGAAAUCUCCGCGCGCACCCCAGUGUUCAAACCUCAAGGGUCUGCUGGAACCCGAAAUCCGACAUUUGGCGCACCAGGUAGGGGUGCGCCAGAAUCCACCUUCUACCGCUUCGUGUCCCGUCGCGUCGUCAUCACCAUGUCCGGCGACCAGGCGGGCAACCCAGAUCCUUGGGCGGCGUGGCCCGCCAGCGCAGAGCCGCUCGCCUCGGGCGACCCCAUGCCCCAGGCAGCUCGCGGUCCGCAGGGCGCUGCAGGCCGCGGGUGACGCAGACAGGCUUCGACAACUCUCACACCGCGGCAGGCGCGGUCGGCAGCAAGGGCCUUCAAUCACGCCGCGACCACGACACCGUACACCCGUCGGGAGCAGGCGAACUCGAGGGCCGCACUCAUGGUGGCCCGAGAGCUGCUGCAGUGCAGGCUGCUGAAGGGCGGCCGCGACGUGCCGCUGGAGCGGGUGGCAGAGCUCCUGGGCUUCGCCGCCUCGGGGGCUCACCCCUUCUGCACCCAGCUCCCAUCUCAAGCCCAGGGCGGCCCGCGCGGGGGCUCCGCGCGCGCCCGCGUGGUCCAAGGCUACUCCAACGCCAGCGAAGCUGUCGACACCGGACCGGCGGCGGCGCUGCUCCCGCUCCCGGUCCGCGAAGAAGGACUCGACGCGACCCACGGCCCUAGUGGACAGCCGCGCUACCACCCCACGGUGGGCGCGUCAAGCAGAGCUGCAUGGCACGCGGAGCACUACGGCGUGGCCUUCGGGAUGACGGCGCCAGAAGAAUACGUGCCCCACAUGAUGGACCAAGGGCACCCUCACGAGGGCGAACAAGACUCGCUCCUCAGCCCAAACUGGGGGGACAAGGCGCCAGAAGCUGAGCUCUUCCAGGAGCCCCGGGACGGUCCCACCGGCCACGCUGGAGGCAGCGAUUAUCGGGUACCGUUAAUUCCUCAGGAGCAGGCAUACGCUAAUCAUGGAUCGCAGGAGGUGCAGGUCGCCACAGCGAGCAGCUGCCCCGCUCCCACAGUCUCCUACCCCUCGGGAGGAGGGCGCAGGGGGCUGCAGGAGAGGGGCCGAGAUCCGACAUCACCAGCGCGGCGUUCGGAGUAAGGUGUUCUCAGGAGGUAGACCCUCUGCUAGGGAGGUGCCUCAGGGCCUGCCCCUGGCGGAGGACCCGUGGUCGUCGGGGGAACCGCUGGCGACCGCUCUACCCCAUCGGCGGCAUCCUGGUUUCCGGUUGUCGUUGAUGGCACUAGAGUGUGGCGCAAGGCGGGGCCCUCGUCUGGCGAUAUGAAGCAAGGCCGGUACCUGUGAAGAAGGCCCAGUGUCUGUGAAGCUCGCCGCCCCGUGACACUCUCACGUAAUAAUGAGUGGGGCUGUACACGCCCCGGAGUCUCAGGGGUGCCGGCCUCAGGCCCUGGGGCUCCCUCCCACGCCCAGUGGCAGCACUUAGCUCCGCGCUGGUGAGAAGAUGUCCAAGACUAGAUUAGGUGUCGGACGCGGCCUUUUGUCUGCUUUCAUUGCUUUUCCCUUUGGUUGUCACUUUCCCUCGCUGGAUUUAAGUUGGAUUCGAAUUUGAGAUUUGCGUGUGUUCGGGUAAGGGGUGCUGUCGGAUUUCGGGUUCCGGCAGACCUUUGAGGUUCGAACACUGGGGUGCGCGCGGAGAUUUCGCCUUCUACCUACCUACACCCCUCUGCCUCGCUAAGAUCUAAGCUAUGGAAAGAACAGCACAAGAGACACAUGGUUUAUACUUGUUCGGGCCACCGUUGUGGUGUAAUACCCUACUCCAAUGUGUGGUGUGGAGGAUUGCCUCUUGGACUGAUGAUGAUGAGCAAUAUAAGGAAGAACAGCCUCGCGAGGGUUUGUUCUUGGCUGAGGGGAUGAACUGCUAGGAGGAGUUCAGUCACCCUUCUCUCUCUCUUCUCGAUUCUCUCUCCGAUUUCCAUCCUAGCUUGUUUCUCUCUUGGCUUCUAGAUUCUCCCUUCUUGAUUGCCCCCUUACCCUGGGGGUGGCUAGUCCUAUUUAUAGGCAAAGGUCCUGGGCCUCUUCCCAAAUAUUGAGCGGGAAGGGCGCCAACAAUUGGCCAUUUUGAAGGGGAACAUCUGAUACAUUUAUCCUGACUAAAGUUGGUCCUCGCCUGCCAAAGGCUCUGGUGGUGACGCUGGCUUGGGCUCCACAAUGACUUCCUGCCGUUGGACUGGUCUUGGUCUCGUUGCACCGAAACGGGUGCCUUUGCUUGAUGCUCUCGCCUGCGCUUGCUCCCUUUGCACCAAAGAGGAAAAAAGGACACUGCGCGGGCUGGUGCCCGCCUGGCACCCUUGGUCGUCAUGGCUUGCGUCACGGGCACCUCGUGAGGUACCCCGCCUUGAUCUCUCUGCCUCCUCGCGAGCCAGCCUGAUGAGGCUGUGCCUGAGGAAGCUCCGUGUCGUUCGCCCCGCGAGGCUUGGCCCCUCGCGAGGGUCUUGGGUCUGUGUUGAUGAAGAUGGGCCGUGCUGGGCCCCCCUUUGAGCCACGCCGCAGACCGCAGGCAGGCAAGUCUGGGGACUCCCGUUUCCAGAACGCCGACAGUAGCCCCCGGGCCCAAGGCGCGCCCGGACUUGGCCGUGCAGGGAGGCGAAAAGGCAAGAGCGAAGCGCCGCGGGCCCUAACAGCCUGCGGCCUUGGGCGCCGCGUGGCGGUUGAUUGGACGUGGGCGCCUCAGCAACCGCGCGAGUUGAUAAGGGAGCGGCAUCUGCCUAGGCUUUGCUUUUUUUUGCUUUCUCCGGUUGCUGCUCAGAUCCCCUUUCUUGCGCCUCUCCUUCCUUCCUUCAAAAUUUCCAGAUCUACUCCGACCGCGUGACCUAGGAAGCCAUGGCGCCUCGUCAGUCCCCGGCCGGAGCUUGGUACUCGUCUGCCCUGGACUCACCGAACGUGUCGGAGGCGAGCCUCGCCUGGUUUCGCCGGAUGGCGGCGGCGCAGGGCAUCGACGGGGCGAAGGUGUUCAAGGCCGGCUCCGCCACCCCUGAGGGCCAAGGGAGCACCUGAGGUUCCAUCCGUGACAGCGCCUCUGCCCGCGAAGGAAGGUGACCGAGACGCACGGGCUUCUCCUGCCCGGUCGUCCUCGCGAGGCCUGGCUAAGCCGGCUGGGGCGAGCUCAGCCCCCAUGGCCCAAGUGACUUUCGAGGUGCCUUUGCCUGCUACCGCCACUACAGCCGUUGGGGCGCAGCAGGCUCCGCCUCAGGAUGCUGUGGUCGCGCUGCCGCUUCUCCUCCUACUUCACCGACUGCUGUCUCUCCGACUCCUGCCGUUCUGGAUCGUGCUGCUGCUGAGCUGGAUCGGCUGCGGCAGGAUCUUCUUGGUGCCGACCCUCGCUUGGUGGCCGGACGCUUGGAGCUGGCUUCAGGAUGGAUUCGCUCCGACGCUUCGAUUCGGGCGGCGCUGGUCCAGGCCUCGACGACUUGCGAUGAGGAGAGGCAGGCCGUCCUUGAGGCGAAGGCUGCUCGUGACGCAGCCCUGGGGGAGGUGGUUGAUGUCCGUGGUCGCUGCAAGGCGCUGGAGGACGAGCUGCAAGGCCUGCGGGACCGGCUCGCGAAAGAGGCCCGCCUUCUCCAAGAGCAGGAAGAAGGCGUGAAGGCUCGCGAGGCGGCCGUCAAGGAGAGGGAGGUCAAGCUCAGGAGGUGCCGUGACCGCCUAGGCGCGCUGGAGCAGGAGUUGGGGGCGAGGAAGGUCGAGCUGGACGACAAGGCCCAGGUUUUUGCCGAGGACCGCGUGGCCUUCGCGGAGAUGGAGGCGAAGGCUCGCUCCUCGCUGAGGAUGCUUUACGACAGCGGCCUGGAGAGCCCGCUGGCUGGCGCCGAGGACGGCCCCGCCAAGCUGCUUUCCUUCCUGGUUCGCGCUCUUGAAGAUGUCGCCCUUGGCCUUGGCCCCACGGCCGAGGCCGAGACGCGUGUCCUAUCUUCUGCAGCACUGACGCGGGUCCUCACCCACAUCUACCUUUGCGAUCCCGGCGUCGACCUCGACAGCCUGCUGGAGCCAGUAAGCGGCGAGCGUGCCGCUGCCGUUGCCGAGGCCGUGAAGGGUCGCAUGGAGGCUCUGCUGGGGAAGUUCCGGGCCUUCAGCACCAAGCCGAAGCAAGGCGCUGCCGACCCCGCUGCUUCAUGAGGCGAACCCACUUCGCGCUGCUCCACCGCCGACAAAUGACUCCGUUGUGGCUUAUGUCCUGCCUUUAAUUCCUGCACAUGUAUCAUGCCUCGGGGAGGCGUUUAAACUUGCGUUUGGCAUUGAGAUAACAGUGUGGACUGUAAUAUUUGCUUUUGAAUUCCUUAAAAUUUACGCUUUUCCUUCCUACUUGCUUAUGUCCUACGCCAGCAGAGCCCGGCCCCGUGCAUACCGCAGCCGCCGUUAGCCCCGACCGGAAACCAGGACGGGACCAAGGAGUGAGGGGCUACGUGACAAGUUAGGCUCCUGAGUCGCGAUGCUUAGGAGUCCCCCUUGGCGCACGAACAACAAGUAGGGAGGUGUGAUGUGGGUGGAUCUACCGUUCUACGUUUGCAAAGCCCGACCGCGCGCAUACCUCAACCGCCGUUAGCCUUUCGGAACUAAGGAGUGAGGGGCUACGUGACCAGUUAGGCUCCUGAGUCGCGAUGCUCAGGAGUCCCCCUUGACGCUCAAACAGCCUUCGUACCUUGGCUCCGCUCGGGGAGAGACGCGCGAUGAACCAGGCCCGGGGGGCCUGGCUGGGUGGCGUGCGUCUGGGCGUGACUCAUGCGCAGCCCCCGUGCCCAGCCCCCUCGCGCGGCACUCCCGAGGAGAGGCGUUACGAUGAGGCUAGACACUGAGCUCUAGGCUCCCUGAGAUUGAUGCGGCCCAGGGGCCACCCUCAGUUGUUUAUCACCAGCGUGGAGCAUAGCGCUUCCGUAUGUGUACGGGCAUAGCCGCUCCUCGGCAGUGUCGUCAGCCAGCGCGGAGCAUGGUGCUUCCUCUGGUACGUGAGAGGGGGCUCCCCUCCGGAAGGAGCCCCCGGGGCGUGUACAGCCCCGCCCUGACAUGUGGCUGGCACGGUAGGGCCUGGCGAGGUGUAUCUGGGCACCCGUGAGCCAGUGCGGGACUCACGGGGCCCUACCUCUAGGCGGGUUGCGCCUGGUACUGGGCCUUAUCUUGUGAUGUGUACCUGCAAAUUUGGUUAGAUGCCGGCACUCUACGUCCUCGGGUCCCGGCCCUCGAGCUGGUCUCAGCCGUCGCUGGUAUGCCAGGUCGCGAUGCCGUGUACAAGGCCAGAGGGUGAGGGCUGGAGAGCCAGUAAGAGCCCUGAGUCGCGAUGCUUAGGUACCCCCCUUUAACGUGCAAGUGGUCGGCAUGGAGAAGAAGAGGUGCCGUGGACCGGCAUCAAAUAAUCAAGCAUGGUGGGUCGAACGCAUAGGCAGAAAUAAACGCAAAAGGGAUACAUGCCGCUGGGUCUGGCCCGAGCGACUUGGGGAUGAUGCAGCCCGAGGGGCGCCCCCAACAAAGUAAGCUAACAACAUGAAAUAAAAGGGAUACAUGCCGCAGGGACGGACCCACGCGGCAUGGGAAUAAUGCAGCCCUGGGGGGCGCUCCCAGCUGGAAAUGAAAGUUGAAAGAUAUCACCUGAUGAUGUUGAGGACGAUGGAGUGUUGGUGUAGCAGACUCGGUGGGCUGCGGAAUCCGAUCCUCAUGAGCCCCCAGGCCCAGGGGCCUCGGGAGGCUCCGGAGGCACUGGUGGCUCCUCGCGGACCAUCUCCAUCUCCGUCAGGGCUGCGGAACGCCUGGCCUCUUGAGCCUCCAUGAUGCCCCUCAUGAGGUGUUGGUACGCGGCAGCCGUGUUCGGCAAGCCGUAAGGCAUGCAAACGUAGCUGUGAGGUGGACCUUCGCAGCGCCCCACUCGCGAGGGCCAGAGGCGCUCCAGAGAGGCGACUCGAUUGAACCCUGGUAUGUCGAUGCAGACGUGCAGCCCACCAUCCUCGCCUGGAUAGGGAGCCACAGCUGGUAGGCGGCGGCCGCCUUUCAUGACUCUUGACUCCUGUAGCUCCUGAAUGGCCUUGCUGACGAACUCCUGAGGGUCUGGCCCUCCUUGAGGGAAACGUGCUUCGAAACACGCCUCCAUGUGGUGCCCAAGCGCCUCUCUCGUGACCUUAGCCAGGUCGGUGGCCCUCCAGGGAAGAGCCCCCGAGCCCUGCCUGAGGAGGGCGUCGGGCGCGCUUUCCUAUGCGAUGGAAGGAGAUUCCCCCUGGGCAGGCGCGGGCCCUGAGGGGCCUGCCUCCUGAGGGGCCGGGCCGGACGAUGUCUUCUUCUUCUUGGGACGGUCUCGGGAAGCCUCCUGCUUCCGCGAUCCGGGUCUUCCAGUGAUGCGGCCUGAAAGGCUCGUUCCAGGGAACACACCGCGUCCUUCUUUUCACAGGGCAUCGUGAUGACUCCGCCACUUCCUGGCAUCUUGAGGACGUUGUAGCCGUGGUGAGUUACAGCCAUGAACUUGGCCAGCGCUGGGUACCCAAGGAUGGCGUUGUACGGCAGGCGAAUGUGAGCGACGUCGAAGUCGAUGAGCUCGGUGCGGUAGUUGUUGCGUGCCUCGAAGGUGACAGGGAGGCGGACCUGCCCAAUCGGGACUGUGGAGCCGUCGGUGACUCCGGAGAAAGGCUUGGUUGGCUUGAAUGUUUCCACGGACAGGACGUUGAGCCCUGCCCCGCCAUCAAUGGGGUUCCUGGUGAUCACCAUGUUGCUGAUGAUUGGGGAACAUAGCAUCGGGAGGACUCCGGCUGUGGCCGCACACUUGAGCUGAUCUGCUGAGCUGAACGUGAUGGCGCACGCCGAUCACCUGAGAGGGCGCGUGACUUCGAGUUUGGGGAGAACUGCAUUCAUUUCGCGGGCGAACUGCUUGAAGAUGCGUUGAGAGGCUGGGGCUUGAGCCCCGCCUAGGAUGCAGGCGAUCGCGCGCGGCUCCUGGAAGCCCCCAGCCCCCUCGUCCUGAUGGCGGUCCUCGUUUCUCCUUGGCUGCGGCGGCAGCGGAGGGAGGCCUGCGUUGCCUUGUGGGCGAUCCUCGCGAGGCUGAUCCCUCCAGUAUCCCUUGCGAGGCGGGUCUUGCCAGCGAUCCUCGCGAGGUUGAUCGCGCCACCCUUGGCGCGGGCCGCGGUUUUCCCAGCGUCCUGCGUUCCUUCCUCCUCCUCGACCGUAGCCCCGGUCACCGCGGUCGGGACGACGGCCGAUCCUUCCUUCUCGCACGGCUCAGAGCUCUCCUCCUUCAUCUUGACGCCGCACACGUCGUCGGAGAAGGCUGAGAUGAUGGCCUCCUCGGUCACCUUGGGAAUCUUGAGCCGUGCGUUGUUGAAGCGCUGGAUGUAGUUCUGCAGGGUCUCUCCGGGUUGUUGCAUGAUGCGGCGCAUGUCGCUCACAGCGGGUGGCCGGUCGCGAGUACCUUGGAAGUUGGUGAUGAAGUGGGUGCGCAUCUCGUCCCAGGAGGAGAUCGUGCCUGGAGCCAGGUUCAGGAGCCAGGUGCGGGUCCCGUCCUUGAGCGCCAUGGAAAACCAGUUCGCCAUGACCUUCUUGUCUCCGUUGGCAGUUUCGAUGCCCAGCUCAUAGAGCUCGAGGAACUCCGUAGGGUCGGCCGUGCCGUCGUAACGAGGAGGCAGGUCUGGCUUGAACUUGCCGGGCCACACGACGCUGCGUAGCUCGGUGGUGAAGGCCUUGGGUGACGGAGAGCUUGGUCUUGCAUGUCCCCAGGCGCUGCAGCUGGGAGCAGCGCGGGGUCUUGACGUGCGGGAGCAGGAGUAUGGUCGUGACGUGCUGGAGCAGGGAGCGCUCGGGCAGCUUCUUGCGGGCGAGGGACUUCUUGGCAGCUCUGCUCUUGCUGUGCUGUCACCUGACAGAGCGGGUUCCGCCCAGGGGCCACGCGCCUUGGAGCCACGGCGCCUUCUUGAGGAGGAGGCGGCUGGGGCGCCCACGGAGCUUCGUCGCCCGCGCGGGGCGGGGUGCGGUGCAGCGGAACGGAAGGUGCAGGAAAGCCCCCUGCGGCGCGGACGAGCUCGACGACGCGGUCGAGCCAUUCUUCGUAGACGUCGUCGACGGGACGGUAGCGCAGGAGCUUGUUUGCCGCGAUGAGCACAGCUCGAGCCUCCAUGGAUGCGCGGAGCGCGCGGGACAAAGAACCAGCUUGGGUGAGCGAGGGAGUAGCGGUGCAGCCGUCUUGCCGCACGGACGGAUACUGAGACGACGCUUGCUGCUCGUUCCCCACCGGGCCGGUGGCGGCAUUGACGGCAGGUGGCGGGGAAUGGCGAGGACGCCCGCCGACAGGAGCCGUCUGGGCAACGCGGGAAGCGAGAGCGGCCGGCGCUCGGCGCGGGCCAGAUGAGCGUCAGACAUGAACGCGAUGGCCGGAGAAAAACGGGAUGGUGGAAGAUGAAUUCCGGCGCACCCCUACCUGGCGCGCCAAAUGUCGGAUUUCGGGUUCCGGCAGACCCUUGAGGUUCGAACACUGGGGUGCGCGCGGAGAUUUCGCCUUCUACCUACCUGCACCCCUUCGCCUCGCUAAGAUCUAAGCUGUGGAAAAAACAGCACAAAAGACACAGGGUUUAUACUGGUUCGGGCCACCGUUAUGGUGUAAUACCCUACCCCAGUGUGUGGUGUGGCGGAUUGCCUCUUGGGCUGAUGAUGAUGAGCAAUACAAAGAAGAACAGCCUCGCGAAGGUUUGUUCUUGGCUGAGGGGAUGAACUGCUAGGAGGAGUUCAGUCACCCUUCUCUCUCUCUUCUUGAUUCUCUCUCCAAUUUUCAUCCUAGCUUGUUUUUCUCUUGGCUUCUAGAUUCUCCCUUCUUGAUUGCUCCCUACCCUGGGGUGGCUAGUCCUAUUUAUAGGCAAAGGCCCUGGACCUCUUCCCAAAUAUUGAGCGAGAAGGGCGCCAAUAAUUGGCCAUUUUGAAGGGAAACAUCUGGUACGCUUAUCCUGACUAAAGUUGGUCCUCGCCUGCCAAAGGCUCUGGUGGUGAUGUUGGCUUGGGCUCCACAAUGACUUCCUCCCUGCCGUUGGACUGGUCUUGGUCUCGUUGCACCGAAACGGGUGCCUUUGCUUGAUGCUCUCGCCUGCACUUGCUCCCUUUGCACCAAAGAGGAAAGGAGGACACUGCGCGGGCUAGCGCCCGCCUGGCAUCCUUGGUCGUCAUGGCUUGCGUCACGGGCACCUCGUGAGGUACCCCACCUUGAUCUCUCCGUCUCCUCGCGAGCCAGCCUGAUGAGGCCGUGCCUAAGAAAGUUCCGUGUUGUCCGUCCCGCGAGGCUUGGUCCCUCACGAGGGUCUUGGGUCUGUGUUGAUGAAGAUGGGCCGUGCUGGGCCCCCCUUUGAGCCACGCCGCAGGCCGCAGGCAGGCAAGUCUGGGGACCCCCGUUCCCGAAACUUCGACAGGUGCUUAGUCUCGUUCGAGCAAUUUCUCGCGUUUUGAUUACCACUUCGUCUCAGCUGCCUCCCCUCGUGAGCCCCUCGCAAGCCGGGUCAGGCCCAGCUUGCGCGCAGCCCAAACUGCCGCCGCCGCGUCCUCUCAGGAGGCUUUUUUACUGCAGAUUCUACGGAUUCGAUCAGGGAACACCCGGGACACCACAACCUCCCACAGGCUAUCUCAGGGCCCGCACGGGACAAAGGUAAACUAGCCGACCAGCGCGUCGCUUAAGCCAACCACUUGGCGCGGGUGCACGGGCAAUGUAACAUCUACUAAUACGACGAACACACGUUUUACAUGAGGGGCUCCCCCUCCAAAAUGCUCUCACAGCCAUCAGGCCAAAACUUGAGUUCUAUUCAUGCAGGGUAAGGAAGCAGGAACGAUGCACAAUCAGUCGGAUAAAUCCCCCAAUGCGUCCUCAGGAGCACCACCCGAACUGUUGCUGGCGUCGCUGGACUCGCCAUCGCUGUCUGCGUCGCUGCCAGCGGCGGUAGGGCCGUUCACCACACCGCCCUCGUCGGCAGCCACGAUCACGCCGUCAUUGUCUGAAGCGAAGGCCUUGACAAGAGCAUCCACAUUGUUUUCCACCCAGUGCGCCAGGUCGUCUCGGACGGCCUGGGGGACUGGGGCGAUGGCGGCGUCGAAAUUGAAGUAGGGAUCCAUGUUCCGGAGAUGGCUGAAGACGCGAGAAAAGGCGCGCCCGAGCAGGGCGCGGCUCCUCUCCUCCACCAACCUGUCAGCCCUGACCGACCGCGCCUCCAGCUGCGUCACCACGUCGGUGAAGAACUAAAGGUUGCCGGCGUAGUUGACUGCGUGCGGCUCGCUAACAGCCGCCUUGCAGAUGUUGCCCAAGACUGUGUUGGCUCUCUCCCGGAGCAUGGUGAGCAUGGGGCCGUGCUCAUGCUCCAGGAUCCACCGCUGACGUAUCUCGUCCGCAUUCUGGCGCGCGAGGACCUCAGCCUCCUCCACCUGCUGGCGAAGAAGGAGCACCUCGGCCUGGGAGGUGGUUGACUCCCCUUGCGCUACCUCAAGGGCGGCCCGGAAAGCAUCGUCCCGCCGCGUCGCUUCCUCCAGCUUGGCCCUCAACGCAGCAGUCCUACCUUCAGCCUCGGCCCGGAUCAACCCCAGCCUCUCCUCGAACUCGUGCUCGAAGUUCAAGCGCGCCAUCGCCACCCGACGUCCGGCCUCCUCCAGGACACGGGCUUCCCAUGCAGCGACAUCAUCCUUCGCCUGCGUCACCAAGCGCUUCCUCGUCUCCAGACGCUCGUACUCGCGGGUACGUUCGGCGGCUUCCAGCGUCAGCGCCUCCUCACGCUUUUGGAGCUCUGCUGGGUUGCCAGAGGCCACCUUCAUCGACGUGAGGGCUGCCUCGCGCAGCUCCACUUGCUCCUCCAGUGAGUGGCACCAGGCCAGGAGCUCCCGAGCCCGCUCCUCCGCCGCCUCUCGCCGCCGGUCAGCUUCCCGGGCCUCCUCAGCGGCCCAAGAUCGGACCUCCCGAGAGGCCACCAGCGACGCCUUGGCCUCUGCGUCGUCAAGAUCGCGCUGACGGCGCGCAAGGGCGAUAGCGCCCUUCAGCUCGCGCCUCUCUAUAGCCAGGCGCAGGCCCUCGGCCUCAAGGCGCGCGUCUUCAUCAGCAAGCUCCUCACCAAGCAGGCUCACCGCGUCAGCCGCCCUUCGAAGGAAUCCUUGACGAAGAGCGCGACGCUCCCGGGUGCGCUCGAGCACGUCUUCCACACCAUCAUCUGCCCCAAGCAAGUGCCGGGGGCCACGAAUCAGCACUCCCCCUCCGGGCAGGGGGCUGGGGGCUGGCACUCUCGCGACGGCCGGGCACGCCACGCCAGAAGCCCGGCCUGAAGCCAGCGCGUCCCCAGAUGAAGAGCGCAGGGAGCGCCUCAGCCAAUCGCAGUCCACGACCAGGCGAGAAGCCCGCGGCAGGUUGGCUAUGCCAUGAGAAGGCCCACGAAGGAGGAUCGCGAGGUGCGCAGGGCCUCGAUGCGCCUCGGGACGGUUUGCCUCUCCGAUCGCCCUCACCACAAGGGCUCUGCUGCUCGGAGCGCUUGAGAGCGAUAGAGGGGGCGAAGCCAAGGGGGACGGCACCUCAGCCAUCUCCGCGAGCUCGGCUGGAAGGGGCCUGCGGAGCAAGGAUCAGUAAAAGCAACAGAAGGAUUGAGAGCUGGAAAAGGAGAAGGCUUACUCAUCAGUGGCGAAGUACUUCCUACGCUUCAGCAGGCGACAAGGGUAAUCGUCGCCCAGGGCCUCCCUUCUCUUCCGGAGGGCCUCAAAGUCCACGCGGAAGCGGCCCAAGAGUUGAGCGCAGGGAUCUACCUGCGACGAGGACGAAGCGUCAAGGCGAUCCGCAUCAGGGGCGCCUGCCUGAUGCGCACUUCCAGUCGUCUCGCCAAGAGAAGCGGCUGGAGUGUCACACCCUAGCUAGUCAUGCAUUAGAGUGUUGCAUCAUGUUUACUCUUUCAUCAGAAACUUGAAAUGAGGAUGACAGAACCCCCAGUCCCCUCUGAAACCAACUAGGGUUACUAAAAUAAUUUUUCAAUGAACCUGAAAUGCCCUUCUAAAAUGCCCAUCAUUUUUGUCUUGGUUCAGAACCUCUGCCAAAAAUGGUGCACAUUUUCCUAGGCCAUCCUAGGGUUUUUGAAUUAAAUCAUAAAUAUUUGAAUUUGGGCAUUUAAAAUAAUAUAAAAUAUUUAAAUGCUCAAAUAUCUCCAAACUAAAAUGUUUCAUGUUGGAAAUAAUCCAACUAUGGGCCAGGAAUAGUUUGGUGAUUUUUGAAGUUGCCUAGGUAUUUUAUUUAAUUCAACAAAGUUGCAGAUAUAUUAAAUAAAAAUAGAAACAGAAAAAAAGGGGAAAACUUACCUGGUGCCACCGCAGGCCCACCAGCCAGCCCACCUGGCCGGCCCAGCCCGGCCACCGCUCCAGCGAGCUGCUUGGCUUGCCAGGCAGGCAGCCAAGGUGCUCGGCGGCGGCACCGCAGCUCGCCACGCAGCUGCACGCCGCCCGGCCUCCCCCUCUCGCCGCCCUGAUGGCCUGGACGAGCUCCACGUCGCGCCCCGACCCUCCUGGACACCUCCAUUCGCCCCCAGCUCCUCUCCCUCGCGCUCCCACGCCAUGGCCGACGCCACCGUCGCCGCACCACCGUCGUAGCCGUGCUCCCCGUCGUCUCCACGCCGCGCCACCCUGUCCAGAAGCUCCGCCGCCCUCUACUCCUUCGAGCUAGCCGAGCCCCGAGCGCUCGCGUGCCUCGAAGCCGCCGCACCAACCUCGCCCGAACCGCCAUCGCCGGAGAUCCCCUUCGCCGUCGCCGCCGCCGCAGCUCGUCCCCGACCACGCCGUCCUCUCCGUCAAGACCACAGUGAGCUGGGCUAACUUCCCCUUCCUCUCUUUCUCUCUCUCGAGCACCACAGCGAGCGCACCAAGCUCACCCGCACGCGCCGUCGCGGACCUCGUCGCCGACGUGCUUCCGGCCACACUCCGGCCACAAGAUGGUGUCCAUCUUGCUCACCGAGUCCCACAGCACCUAGCUAGCCACUCCACGAGCCUCACCGACCCCUCUAGCGCCAAGUUCAUCCUCGACCGAACCCCGGUGGCCGCCAAAGUCGUCGCCGGCGCCAACUCCGGCCACCCCGACCCCAACGGACUCCGCCAAGAGCUGCGGGUUGUCCUCAGCUCCACUCCGGUGGUCUCCGCGGUCCAUUUGGUGGCCGAAAUGGCCAAAACCACUCCCGCCGCCGCGUCGGGCUCGCCGGCGGCUAAACGCCGGCAGCCGACUUUGACUUUGACCACAGGUGGGCCCUGGUUGACUCCCCUGAGUCAAUGACAGGUGGGGCCCAGCCCUGUUAAUUAAACAGGAUUAGUUUUAAUUAAAUUUUAAUUAAAAUAAUCACCCUGACAUGCGGGACCCACUGUCAGGUUUGACCCAGACCUGUUCCGUUGACCUGCUGACGUCACACUGACGUCAGGCUGACGCAGUAAUUGAUUUUCUGGAUUUAAAUUAAAUCAGGAAAUUCCAGAAUAUUAUUUAAAACUUCAAAAAUUCAUAACUUUUAUUCUGUAACUCCAAAUUGGACAAAUUAUAUAUGAAAAAUGAUCAGAAAAAUCCAAUCUAUCCAUCUGUACUAUUUUCAUGCAUGAUCAAACAAGUUAAAUUGAUGUUUUAAGCAGAAUAAGGAAAAGCACUUAAAGAGGCCAUGUUUGAGUUUGAAAUUUGAAUCUUUGAUUCAAAUUUGUUCAAACCCUUCUGGUUUUAGUUGCAUUAGCCCAACACACUCAUAUUGCCAUGUUUCAUGCAUGCAUCAUAUUGUUGCACAUUGUUUGGUGAUGUUUGUGUAUCGAUGUCCUUUGCGGCAGGUUCUGCCCCCGAAGAAUACCGUGAUUACCCUAACGAAGAAUCAUAUCCGAGCAUCGAACCAUCAGGCAAGCAACCAACCAUUUGAUCAUAUCGAUACAAUCCCAUGUUCUCGCUCCUGCUCUCUUUUACUGCAUUAAGACAACGCGAUUCAAACUGCUGUGUGCUACGGUAGCUGAACCCAUUUCCUCUGCAUGACCUGUCAUUGCCACAGUAACUAGAUGAAACCCACUAGCAUGUGUAGGAGUUGAUUGAGCCAUAUGUAUGUGUUGUUCCUACCUUGCUAUGCCUGCUAUGCCUAGAGUCGUGUCAGGUCUGGUUCAUCUGGGUGAUGGGCUAGAGUGAAAUGAUUAUGUCGGUAAUGGGAGUGGUGUGGUGAACACGAUUUGGUAAAGGUAUCGAUGAGAGGCCAUGUAGGAGUACAUGGUGGGUUGUUUCAUUGAAGCCGACCUUAAGCACUGAGAUCUGUAUGUGUGAUUUAAGAUACAGCUACUACCAUGCAUUGGGCCCUGAAAUAUGACCCCGCUCGACUUCUUAUUCACCCUAGCUCUCUGUCCAGGAGUUGCAAGUAGUUUCUGGUGUUUGUAGCCUACUGGAGGCCGUGGACAGCGCUGACCGUAGGGGCGGGCUGUGAUGCGGUAGGUACGUGGCACGGUGUACCGAAUACCUGUUAGGUAUCCCGGGAACCCUGUUCACAUUGUUCGGGGCCGUAUGGGAAACCUCGGCCGGACUCCCUGCGGAUGGAACCUGAAUAGGCGAUAAACCUGGACUGGAGGCUUAGGUGAUUAGGUAGGUCGUGGCCGACACCCACGUUGGGCUUCCGCUUGAAGGUUGCCGAGUACAUGUCGUGUAAACGACGAUAAGUGGUGAGAGCGUGUAUGAAGGAGUACACCCCUGCAGGGUUAACAUGAUCUAUUCGAAUAGCCGCGUCCGCGGUAAAGGACUACUUGGUUGCAUAUACAGUUCAUAGACAAGUAAAUGGAAACUACUAAAAGCCUCAAGAUAAGUGUGAGUGCCGAGGAUGGCUCUUCCGUAGGAAGACGGAGGUGGAUCCUCGGUGGGGUAUUGAAGUGGUGAGUAGUGGACUCGUGUGCGCAAAACAUUUCAAGUUGGAGUAUCGUAGGAUAGCCUAGCCAAGAGUCAAAGCUGGCUUGCUGCAAUAACUCCACCAACCCUUCUUGAUACUAUGCAUGUAUGUAGGAUCUGAUGUAAGUCUUGCUGAGUACCUUUGUACUCAUGUUGCUAUAAUCUACAUUUUUACAGAAGACGCUGCAACCCCUUCUGAUGGGUUCUAUGUAGACGUUGACAUCAACGAAUAGGCUAAAGACCCAGGUGGUGACCCUGAGCUUGUGAUGGACCACGUAGUAUAGCUAGGCUUUCCAAGCCUCUUUUAUUUUACUAGUUGUCUGUACCCAGACAAUGUACUUCCGCUGCUGGCUUGUAUGACUGUAUGACUUGUAUGUUGGGUCGUGAGACCCGUACCUUUGUGUAUGUUAUGUAUGGCUCCCUGAGCCUUAAAUAAAGUACUUGUGUCAUAGAGUCAUGUUGUGAUGCUUCGUUGUAUUUGCACAUAUCGAGCAUAUUGUGUGUAUGAUUGAAAUGCUUGGUAUGUGUGGGAUCUGACUAUCUAGUUGUUUAUCUCUAGUAGCCUCUCUUACCGGGAAAUGUCUCCUAGUGUUACCGCUGAGCCAUGGUAGCUUGCUACUGCUCUGGAACACUUAGGCUGGCCGGCAUGUGUCCUUCUUCGUUCCUGUGUCUGUCCCUUCGGGGAAAUGUCACGCAUUGAGUACCGGAGUCCUGUUAGCCCGCUACAGCCCGGUUUACCGGAGUCCUGCUAGCCCAGUGCUACAGCCCGGACCCACUUGCUGAUGACCGACACGUUCGAAGCUGGGUCAUGGAUGCCUGUCCCUGUAAGUCUGUGCCACUUUGGGUUUACGACUAGCCAUGUCAGCCCGGGCUCCUUAUCAUAUGGAUGCUAGCGACACUAUCAUAUACGUGAGCCAAAAGGCGCAAACGGUCCCGGGAAAAAGGUAAGACGACACCCGUGGGGAUACCGUGCGUGAGGCCGCAAAGUGAUAUGAGGUGUUACCAGCUAGAUCGAUGUGACAUCGAGUCGGGGUCCUGACAGCGUUGGCAUCAGAGCCGGACUGCCUGUAGGUUCUCCAAGCCAAACUGGUCGAUGUUGAGUCUAGAAAUUCUUUAGUUAUAUGUAGGGGAAUUGUUUGUGGGAUGGAACGUAAGGCUCUUUUUACUCCUCUAUCUUAUGACAUUCUGAUCUGAGUCAGUCCAUUCUUCCACCGGGGGUUAAGGAAUUAGGAUCUAUUCUCUCUAUCAGGAUCACGUGUUACUAAUUAGUAGUACCUUAUAAGUUUGAUGGAUACAAGCCUAUUUCAGUUCUACUACCACAUUAUGUUGCCAGAAUGGUUUCAGAACUUUGAUAUGAUGAUGUUGAGUGUGUACGAAAUCCUUUGUCAAAUGUCUCAAAAUCCUUUUUGAGCAUUUACAGCUGUUAUGCUGCCGAAAUUUUGCUAGAAAUUCUAAUGCCUUGCAUUAUGAUUAUGCUUUCAGAUGGCCACUCGCGACCUUAAUCAAGUGGUUCGCCUGACUCGAUGCCUAGAUGUACCCGGCCAUACUGCCAAGUUGGUCAGGGUAAUGACUGAGGCUGGAUACCGCUGGUAUCCUGAGUACACGGUCGAAGAGCAAUUUCGAGACUUCAAUCAAAGCCAGUAUCUCUGCACUGUCAGGAUAUUUCCAUCUUAUCCUGGAUCCACCGAGCCUCUUCACUGCUCCUAUGGACUCGGGGUUACUAUUGAGAUGGCUGUGCAGGCCACCGUUUGUUGGUCCAAGGCCUCCGCCACUUGAGGAAGAGUCGCCUUGGCCGACUGGAAGGGCAGUCACCAUCACUGGGUUCUCGUGAGGCCCCUGGAGGCCGGCGGGGCGCGGCCCCCACUCAUCAAAGAUAGGCAUCUGAUUCACAAAAUCGCCCUUGUUCUGGCAGAGGUACAACAAGGCCCCUCCUUGUUGGAUGCUGCCAGGAUUGGGGUCCCCAGUCAGGAUCAAGAGCGCUGUCCUCAACACUUCGGGCGUCAGGUCCUCUUCCUGGAGCCUCAUAUGAUCAUCAUGCCCGCUGAAGGCCCACAUCCGGCGGGAGUGGCGUUGGAGAGGAGCAACGCGGCGUAGCAGGAACCCCUUCACCACCUUGGGCGCCGUCACGCCAAGCGACCUCAAGAACGCGAAGCGGUGCCAGACGAAGACGAGUCGGGGGCUCUCAAGCGUCUCCUGGCCCCAGCCCGAAUUGGGGACAACAGGCGAAGUUCACUCCGAUAGCAGGGGGCUGGGCACCCCUGCAUCCACAUACAGCCACUGCUCGCGGAACCCAGCCGCGGGCAGAGGGAGCCUGAAGUCAAUCCCUGAGGCCGUUGUCUCAGUCGCGGCAACGAAGCUCAUGCACGCCCAGCAUUGGGUAGGGUUGACAAGGCGCAGAGAGAAGAAGUGGCGCGGCAAGGCAACCGAAGGAAGGAUGCCCAUCAUUGCCUCGCAAACAAAGGCGAAGACCGAAAGGAGGAUGAUGGAUUCAGGACCCAGAUGCAUCAUGUGGAUCUGAUAGUGGGAAAGCACGGCAUUGAAGAAAUCAAAAAAGGGGGGAACCAGACCCGCCCACAGGGCGUCGGCAAAAUACUGGACCUCGGUGACUAUCCUGUCGAUGGAGAAGUGGGACGCGGGCCAGGCCGUCGUCCUCCCGCAUUCGUUGAAGAUAGUGGCCAGAGCCGAGCUUACCUUGCCCAAGCCCUCGGCGGGGGCCGCCAACGGCGGCGAGCAAGGCGGAGGCAUGGGUUUCUUCCCUCUUCCCUUCUUCAUCGUAGCCAUGGCGAUGGGAAGGGGGGGGGGAAGGUUUGAGAUUGGGUUAAAAAUAGAAGCUGGAGUUCGAGAGGAGGAAGGACAGAGGACGCUCGAGCAACAGAAAGGGGAGCGGCUGUGUACGACUAUGAGUCCGCCUAGCAUGGCGCAAAAUAAGGGGGCGUGGGGGAACAGUGCCGCCCACGUCCAAUCAACCGCCACGCGGCGUCCAAGGCCGCAGGCUGUUAGGGCCCGCGGUGCUUCGCUCUUGCCCUUUCGCCUCCCUGCACGGCCAAGUCCGGGCGCGCCUUGGGCCCGGGGACUACUGUCGGCGUUCUGGGAACGGGGGUCCCCAGACUUGCCUGCCUGCGGCCUGCGGCGUGGCUCAAAGGGGGCCAAGCAUGGCCCGUCUUCAUCAACACAGAACCAAGACCCUCGCGAGGGGCCAAGCCUCGCGGGGCGGACGACACGGAGCUUCCUCAGGCACGGCCUCAUCAGGCUAGCUCGCGAGGAGGCGGAGAGAUCAAGGCGGGGUACCUCACGAGGUGCCCGUGACGCAUGCUAUGACGACUAAGGGUGCCAGGCGGGCGCCAGCCCGCGCAGUGUCCUCCUUUCCUCUUUGGUGCAAAGGGAGCAAGCGCAGGCGAGAGCAUCAAGCAAAGGCACCCGUUUCGGUGCAACGAGACCAAGACCGGCCCAACGGCAGGAAGGAAGUCAUUGUGGAGCCCAAGCCAGCGUCACCACCAGAGGCUUUGGCAGGCGAGGACCAAUUUUAGUCAGGAUAAGUGUACCAGAUGUUCCCCUUCAAAAUGGCCAAUUGUUGGCGUCCUUCCCGCUCAAUAUUUGGGAAAAGGCCCAGGGCCUUUGCCUAUAAAUAGGACUAGCCACCCACAGGGUAGAGUAAUCGAAAUCGGAGAGAGAAUCGAGAAGAGAGAGAGAGAGAAGGGUGACUGAACUCCUCCUAGCAGUUCAUCCCCUCAGCCAAGAACAGACCCCCGCGAGGCUGUUUUUCCUUGUAUUGCUCAUCAUCAUCAGCCCAAGAGGCAAUCCACCACACCACACACUGGAGUAGGAUAUUACCCCACAACGGUGGCCCGAACCAGUAUAAACCCUGUGUCUCUUGUGCUGUUCUCUCCAUAGCUUAGAUCUUAGCGAGGCGGAGGGGUGCAGGUAGGUAGAAGGCGAAAUCUCCGCGCGCACCCCAGUGUUCAAACCUCAAGGGUCUGCCGAAACCCGAAAUCUGACAAUCCCUAAUUAGAGCAUUGCUUCUGGUCCCUUGUCUUGGAAUUCAUAAUUCCUUUGCAUGUAAGCUUUGAGUUAGUCGGUUGUUUCUAUAAUACGAUGCACUUACAUUCCUUCUUCCUUUGAUAGAGUACCGAUACUCACAUCAACUCUGUUGUAGACCACCGGACCUCUUGUUGGAUUAUUAUCCAACAGUGUCCUUUAUAUUCAAAUAACCUUGUGAGUCUUUCCACAGAUAUAUAAAGCCUUGGGUAAAUUGUAUCCUCUGUUUUCUCAACCAUGCCCUGCUUUCGAGCUGGUGGUAUUUACUAUUGAAGCUUAUGGUAUAUGUUUCCGCGAUACCCUGACGGGUUGGACAUAUGCCUUUUCUAAUCUGUGUGAACCCGGAAACUACUACGGGUCAUACUCUACUGUUGUUAUGUCAGAUAAAACUUCAACACUACAACUUCGUCGAAGGCGAGAAGUGAAUGAAAGGUUAUGCAUUGAAGAAGUGGGAGUCGAUCUUGAACUUUGUGUUCAUGCCCAUGGACAUGAUGUAGAUCUUAUCAUUAAAGCUUCUCUUAAAUUAAUUAUUCCUUUGGUAUAAGUUCAUCUUAUAUCUGGGAUCUGGCCUUUUGCAAUCGUGGUUCCGACCAUAUUUUCUCUUUGAUCUCAUUUCUCGGACAAGUUAAAGUACUUGUAUUUUGCAAGUCAAUACACCAGUCCAACCUCUACCUUGAUCUACCGUCGAGUAUUACCCUCUGGUAUCUCGAGAAUAUCUAAGAACUGUGUUGCAUAUUAUGAGUCUUCAUCAGCUAUUAUUUCUCACUGGUUCCAAUUUUUCAUGGGUUCUGGGUUGUCGUCAAUCGAGAACAUCGAUAAGUGAAUCGAUUCCGAGCUCCGAUACGAUAACUCUAAGUAAUUUUUGUUGCGUAUGUGUUUAAUAAUCCUUCAAGUCAUUCCUAUCCUGAUUGGCUAUAUCCUUAUCGUGCUAAAUUUUAACUGUGCUACCUGGUCCUUAAUCCCGAAGCACAACUUUCGACGAUGAGCUAAUCUUACGUCGAUCUUCCUCGUCAUAUCAUUUGUCCCUGAACAACAAGCUUGAUUUCGAGUUUGUGUCGUACCCAUGGUUUCAAUAACUUUUCGCUUCAUCAUUCCGUUGACUUGAUGUCAUCGCCGAUCGGUUACAUCUUCUUGAAACCUCUCAACAAAUGUGUCGUGAUCCUCAUUAACAUCCUGAGGUAUUCCAAGAUAUCAAUUGAAUUCAUGAUGAGAAAUAACAUCCUUGCCCUCGAUGAUUGGUGCUAUCAUCGACCACUUUAUUGCCUUCCCUCCAACACAAACUUGUUCGUGGUCUGUGUUAUACCUGGAGACCCGUGCUAUCCAGCAAUUAUUCUUCGUUACCUUGGAGUAUUACCAUCUUUUAUGUCAAGAAUGUCGUGAGAAUUUCACCACCUCCCGAGAAUUCUUGAUAUAGGUAAUACUUAUCACCAUCACCAUUCCUUCUUGGUCCUCGUGUUGUUCCUAACCGGAAUACCGACAAAUGAACUAUGAUGUGUGAAUUCAAAACUUCUGGCAACCCUAUUGCUUUGAACCAAUGUCUGCUCGUGGAUGUUCUCCUCGAGCAUAAAACAUUAUAUCAUUUGAUUUGACAAAUGUUAUCUCCUUGUUCACAUAAGUGUGGAAAUCCAACUUUUGGAAAUCUUGAAGAAUUAUCGCUGAGUUCAUCAGCCACCCCCCUCAUCAUUCCCUUGGGUUAAUGAUGAACUCUUAUUUCGGAACUCGCUCCCAUAGUUCAUUUCCUAAGAAUUUUACAAGGUCAUCUCGACAAUUGUGUUGCACCUUUUCUUCUCAGGCAUCCUGAGUCAGAGGUAUCCUGGCACCAAUCAGAUCUGAAUCUCGGUCAGAUAUGAUGGUUGGGACAUAUUUCCAAGAGUUAUAACACUGGUCCUUAUAUAUCGAUAAGGUGAUGUCAUGCCCAUCACACCUGGCAGGAGGACUUGUGGUUAUAGUUUCCUGUUUAACAAGGUUAACCAUUCUUCCAUGAGGAAAUUGUAACACUUAUUCUAUGGGUUGUUCUUGAUGGAUCCUUUGCGUAUCCAAAGUCUGACCUUUGCUUAAAGACCAUGUCAACGCUAUCUCGAAGCAUGUAGGUGGUACUUCGAUUUUCAGUACGAACAUUUGAAGCACAAUGCUAAAAUUUCUUUACAAAUUACCCCAAGCACCGUUGUAUGGGUAAUGUCAUGAAAAUUCUCUCCCCUACCUAAGGAGUUUUCUACAUUAUAUCGUGUCAUGGAUAUCAUGCUCUGCUUGUCCUUGGGAAUGCUAUACCCUUGAAAUAUGUGUUUAAACACAUUUUCCUUUACAUUGUCUUGUUUAAUCUGAUAAUCUUAUUUUCCUUUCCAUUGGUUGGUUUAACGUUGCUUGUGAUCUAUAUGAUCUAAGCAGUAAUAUUCUCCUGCUUAUGUAAACAUCUCGGUGUACAAUUCUGUCAGCAAGACCCUGUUACUAUUGUAGAUGACAUUCCGGUAGCCACCGAUGGAUGAGAACUUUGCUUAUUGGUCCGCCUCGUUCAAUGAGUAGGAAAAUGGUUCUAUUCGUCCCUCGCCCUUGGUACCGACGUUGUUGCUGACAUAAUCGACAGGCUACCCUCUAACAUGCCUUGCUUGCAUGAUCACGCAAGAUGUCUCCACCCUUCCCACUUUUAACCCACAUGGUGGGCCCAUAACCCACAGUUCCACAGGAUCGAAACCUGACUCUCCGGUACACCCCCUGUUCCCAAGGUUGUUCCUCGCACUUGGCUUCGUAUGUAAUUCACGGAGCACUUGCCUAGUGAUCUAAUCUGGUAUCAGACGCAAUACUUAUUCCCAUUGCCUUGAAACCCUUUCACCUUCUGAUUAGGCAUCGAACGAUUUCAUAUCCGUUUGAAACUUCUCAUGGUACCUUCUUACCUUGCUCUCGAUAUGUUCUUAAGUUUCAAAUCGAGAGAUACUUAUGCUUCUUCCCUGAGUUAACCGUCUGAUGCUCGAUCUUGUUAGAAUCCAUCCUUAUAGAGUUUUCCCUUCUUACCUUUUUGUAAGUACGGUGAAGAUCCAGAAGGAGGGACGACAACUUCACCAUGAUGACCUAGAGCACGGGAAAUGAAAACAUCAACGUAGUGGGUCGACCUACUUGAUAAGACCAACCAAGACCGGGAACACUCUAGAAUUUCGUAACCAGAACCUUCCCCUUUUGCCUCACCUCUUAAAUCUCGGGACGAGAUUUCUUGUAGUGGAGGAGAUUUGUAAUACCCCGAGAAUCAUGCUACAGUAAUCUCCCCCUAAUGGUGGCCAUGUCAUCUUGGUUACUAUGCAAAUGGCCACUUGUCCAGAAUCAAAGUCAAAUUCAAAUUUGAAUUACAAGUGAAAUAAUUAUUUCUUCGAACGGUAAAAAUAAAGUGUUCACAAUAUUCUAUAAAUUCCCCUGAUCUUUGUCAUGUUGAACCAAACAUUAUUUGACCCACCAAUUGGUCCCUAGGGAUUUAUAAAGUGGUUCAACAACAAAUAAAAAUAGCCUUUCAAAAUAAACAAAUAUUUAUACUUUUCCUCGUGACCUCAAACUUUUGAGGCCUCCUCAAUAUAUUUCCUAAUAGUUGUGUACGCACUUUCACAUUUAACCAAAUUCAUCUGCUAGCUAAUGUUAAAAGAAAACAGUAGAGAAAAAUAAAAAAACAGAAAAGUUCCUAAAACUACUAGGCCACUGGGCCAUAAGUGGCCACAGUGCCUCCGGCCCAGCCCACCUCCACCUCCACCUCAUCCCCUCCUCUGUACAGGGAGGCAGGAGACGUGCGUGUCGCACAUCCACGGUCGCCAUGGCCAUGGAUGGCCUCCACGUCGAUCUCCUUGGCUUAUAACCGCACCAUAGCGAACCCUAGCCCGCUCUCCUCCGUUCCCCUCUCAUUCCCCACCGAGCCACCUCCUCUUUUGCUCGGGCGCGAGCUCGAAAGGUCCCGCGGUGACCGUGUGUAACGCCCCGAGACCGUUGCGCCAGGUGUCUUCCAGUUAUUCGUCGUCAUUGCCAUGUCAUUCGGUUGCGUGUGCAUCUUGUCAUUGUAUCAUGUGCAUUGCAUCAUCAUGUUUUCAAAACUUACAUUCGUCCGGGUUAUCCCAGUUCUCCCCGUUGUUCUUUCUGAGCCAAUACCACACUUGCACGCGCCCGUGGCAUGUCCGAAAUAUUAUUUCAUAAGUGGCCAGAAAAUGUUCUCGGAAUGGGUUGAAAGUUGGCUUGCGGUCUUAUUAUAGUGUAGAUAGACCGCCUGUCAAGUUUCAUCACAUUCAGAGUUCGUUUGAUAGCCCAACCGUUAAACUAUAGCGGCAUUAUAGUCGGUCUAACGUCGGACGUUUUCGGUCUCCGGAAACAGUCACCAGGGCUCUUUCUCUUCUCUUCUCUCAGCUCGAGACCGUCUAUGCAGUCUACCUCUCACCGCCAGGCCCUACCUAACCUCUCUCGUCAGUCCGCGGACCUCCUCCCGCGCGCGUCUGAAAUCUAUCCCGGACCCGACCCGGACAGUCGUUACCGCUGUGUCCGGAUCAUCCCCUAACAUCUACAAAAUAUCACCAUUUUCUUAUUUGGACUCCUCUAACCUUUUAUUCUCGAUCGUCCAUUUACGAUUGGAGGGUUCCGUUAGCCCCUAAACUCUCCCUCUUUCCUUAUAUAUAUAUACUCCCUAGUCUAAAUCUAGACCAAACCCUAGAAACUAGGGAUCUUGUCCCAUCCUCCGCCGCCGCCAGCCCACUAUCUCCUCCUCCUUGGGAUCCCCUCCCGAUCCAAGACCACCAACCAUCGCUCUUCUGCUCCUCCUCGAUCAAAGCCCGCACCCGAUCCAAUCCUUUUAGCCUCCACCAACCACCGAUUCCAUCCAACCACCAGCCUCCACCUCCUCCCUUCGAACCAUCCUCGCGCCCGCCUCCAGAUCGAGCAGGAAGCCUGUUCCCGGCCUCUUCCCCAUCACCUACUGUCGUCGCUCGCUGAUCCGGCAGGCCACCGGAGCCAGCCAGCACUGGAUCUCUUCCUCCUGACCUCCUCUUCCCCUGCUUCUUCCUUCUCCUCCCCAUCCCUGUCUUUCUCUCAUGCUCGCUCUCUCCAGUUGCAGGAACGAUGCCAUGGUCGCCGCCUCGAGUACCUGCCACUGCCGGAGUCCCUGGCGCUGUCGUCUCCAUCAGUUCUUGGAAAGGACGGCGCCCCUCCAGUUUGCCGUCGCCGCACCAAGUCCCGCUGCCGCCUUGCAUUUGACCUUCAGCGCCGUUGUUC